RNAcentral lists this small RNA (291 nucleotides) under human gut metagenome. Its description in RNAcentral is "5' ureB small RNA". It matches the Rfam family "5' ureB small RNA". The record is from RNAcentral.
GGCCUGCUGCGGCGAUACGAAGUGCACGUGGCCGUCGAUACCUGCGGCCGUAAGAAUCAUAUGCUCGCCGCUUAUCGCGUCGGUGGAUGGACCGGUGACAAGCGUGGGCGUAACGCCUUCCAUCACAUUGGGGUUGCCUGCCUUGCCGAUUCCGGCGAUUUUGCCAUCCUUGAUGCCUACGUCGGCCUUAACCACACCUAAGAGCGGGUCGAGGAUGGUAACGUUGGUGAUCACGAGGUCGAGGCUUCCCGCUUUCGAUGUGCAUUCGUUGGCCAACCCCAUGCCGUCGCG